UUCCGAAACCUCCGGGAUCGAACCAGGGACCUUUAGAUCUUCAGUUUAACUAACGCUCUCCCACAACUGAGUUAUUUGGA
This is a non-coding RNA of Cordylochernes scorpioides, 80 nucleotides long. The record is from the annotation of a GenBank genome assembly. NCBI's taxonomy places the organism in Eukaryota, Metazoa, Arthropoda, Arachnida, Pseudoscorpiones, Chernetidae.